RNAcentral lists this ribosomal RNA (252 nucleotides) under uncultured bacterium. RNAcentral describes it as "partial 16S ribosomal RNA". It matches the Rfam family "Bacterial small subunit ribosomal RNA", at positions 28 to 279 of the family's 1533-position model. The record is from RNAcentral.
GAUGAACGCUAGCGGCAGGCCUAAUACAUGCAAGCCGAACGGCAAGUUGAGUAGCAAUACUUGACCUAGAGUGGCGUAAGGGUGCGUAACACGUAUGCAAUCUACCCGCAACAGGAGGAUAGCUCUCCGAAAGGGGAAUUAAGCCUCCAUGGGAUCAUGGGGUGGCAUCACUCCAUGAUUAAACUACCAGGGGUUGUGGAUGAGCAUGCGCAUGAUUAGUUAGUUGGCGGGUAACGGCCACCAAGACGAUGA